GUGCCGUGAUUGGCGCAUGCAGUCCACGUCGCUGCAUGUGUCAACUACGGCUAUU
This is a microRNA precursor of Oreochromis aureus, 55 nucleotides long. NCBI's taxonomy places the organism in Eukaryota, Metazoa, Chordata, Actinopteri, Cichliformes, Cichlidae. The record is from Ensembl.